Molecule: ribosomal RNA, 253 nt
Filed under: uncultured bacterium
Lineage: Bacteria
Description: partial 16S ribosomal RNA
Rfam family: Bacterial small subunit ribosomal RNA
Source: RNAcentral
UACGGGGGGGGCAAGCGUUGUUCGGAAUUACUGGGCGUAAAGGGCGCGUAGGUGGCCAACUAAGUCAGACGUGAAAUCCCUCAGCUUAACUGGGGAACUGCGUCUGAUACUGGAUGGCUUGAGAUUGGGAGAGGGAUGCGGAAUUCCAGGUGUAGCGGUGAAAUGCGUAGAUAUCGGGAGGAACACCUGUGGCGAAAGCGGCUCACUGGACCACAACUGACGCUGAGGCGCGAAAGCUAGGGGAGCAAACAGG